UGGGCAAAAACUUAUAUAUAUCACGUGAUAUCAUUGUACAAGGGACCGACUUUGCUUAAUAAAACUUCUAUCUUUCUUCAUUGUUGAGUCACGUUUUGAGAGAGAGGAAGGAGAGAGAAAUUUUUGGAUCGGUAUCCCCGAGCUUAAUGUAAAUCUCUUUCUCUCUCUUCUCUUUCUAUCUCUAUCUCGCUCUUCCUCUCUCUUCUCUUUCUCUCUCUUCUCUCUCUUCUCUUUUUUCUCUCUUCCUUCUUUCUCUCUUUUUAUUUCUCCUCUUUCACAGACAAUGGAACCCCAUCGUCGUCCGUAUUUCACUCUUUCUCCUUCUCUUCUUCUCUCUUUCCUUCUUUUGUGGUCCCGUAUGACCAUGACCCUCCUCUUCCCUUUUCUUUACGGUUCCUCACGACCACAACCGUCCCCUCUCCCUCCUUGUGAUCCAGCAUUACUACAAUUUCUUUCUUUUUUUAUUCUUUUACCCCUGCACAAUCACUUGCUCCCCGUACACUCUCAAGUCCACCUCAUCUUUCUUUUUUUCUGGUAGUCCCUCAUAUCCAUCUCCUUUCUCUUUCUUUUUUAGUGAACCCUCACAUUACCCCUAUGGUGUAUGGUCGUUUUUCUCUCUCAGGCUCCGUGGUCUUUGCGCAACCAUCAUUUGCCAAAACAUAACCGUAACCCAUCGCCUCGUGUAUGCAAAACAUAACCGUAACCCAUCGCCGCGUGUAUGCAAAACAUAACCCAUCGCCGUCUGUGCAACCACCCUAACGCCGCGCGUGAACUCCACCGAUUGGUGGGCACGACUCCAAUCUCACCACCAAACCUUCUUCACUGCCAACCUGUGGCCACAGCCGGCAGUGUGUAACCUUUUCCAGUCUGCUGAACCCUCUUCCUCUUUCCCUCACCUGGCUGUUGCCCUCACUUGGUCACCACCAUCAGCACCAAAGAUUAGUCCCGAUCCCUAUCAACAGUCUCCAUUAGCACCAUUAAAACCUCAGUCUUCUAUCCUCUCACGUCCCCAUCUCCUUCACCCUCAACCCUUCCGAGCCCCUCUUCCCACUCGCCCUCAUCUCUACUAUCACAGCCACCGCACUGCUGCCUCCCUUUUUUUCUCACUGCUAUACCACACCUCUCCGCCACUUCCCUGCUGCAACCCACCUCUGACCAGCAGCCCAUCUUCCUCUCUUCCUUCGCUACUUUCUCUUCCUCCAACUCCUUGCACCCAUAUCUUCCCAAUCUUUGCCUCUCCCAUCCGCUGCGAUUCCUAUCCGCUCUGCUUCUCUCUCUCUAACUUUCUGUAACCAGCAGCCACCUCUGCUUCUCUCACACCUUCUGCCAUCCAUACUCCUCUCUCUUCUCUCGCCCAUGACCUCCAACCAGCUGUAACCACCAUAGCAGCGAUCACCUUGUCCUCUUCUUUGCUCCCAGUAACCAAGAGCCAACCAUUUCCGCCGUCUCCAUAUCUCUGCCACCUCUCGUCAGCUGCUGCCCUCUCUUUCGCUCUGUCUCCAAUCCUCACCGAAAUCCCCCCUGCAACGGUCCGCCUCUCCCUCUUUUCUCGCUCACUCCUCCUUCUCAAUCUCCAUUGCUAUCACCUCUGCUUCUCUUUCCUUUCAUCUCCUUCGCCACCUACAGCCCUCUCCCACAUCAUCGCCAUCUCCUCAAUCGCCCCACCUCUGUCGAAUUCCUGCAAAC
Molecule: long non-coding RNA, 1686 nt
Filed under: Amborella trichopoda
Lineage: Eukaryota; Viridiplantae; Streptophyta; Magnoliopsida; Amborellales; Amborellaceae
Description: long non-coding RNA (ATRI_LNC003690)
Source: RNAcentral